CCGGCGACCGGCGGACGGGUGCGUAACGCGUAUGUAACCUACCUUUGACAGGGGGAUAACAUCGAGAAAUUGGCACUAAUACCCCAUAACAUCACCGGAGGCAUCUUCGGUGGUUGAAAACUCAGGUGGUCAGAGAUGGACAUGCGUUGUAUUAGCUAGUUGGUGAGGUAACGGCUCGCCAAGGCGACGAUACAUAGGGGGACUGAGAGGUCAACCCCCCACAUUGGUACUGAGACACGGACCAAACUCCUACGGAAGGCAGCAG
This 265-nucleotide ribosomal RNA is filed under the name uncultured bacterium. RNAcentral describes it as "partial 16S ribosomal RNA". It matches the Rfam family "Bacterial small subunit ribosomal RNA", at positions 88 to 354 of the family's 1533-position model. The record is from RNAcentral.